CCUUCCGGAAGACCGGGUCAAAAUGCCUAAAAAGUACUCCAUCAAACCAAGAAUUUCCCUUCUCGUCCCUUGCCUCCACCUUCGGGCCUUCGACUUCUUCCUCCGCCUCCGGCCGCCGGCCAUACUGUCGUCCGGCACCAUGAGGGGAGAUCUCGCCGCCGAGAGGAUGACUAUGGUCUCGAGUUUCCGGAAGGUGCGCUGGGUCUCCAUUUUCUUGGGGAUCUGGAACCUCGGCGUGGUUCUUUUCGGAGGGUUUUUGCUGCUCUCCGUCGUCUCCGGCUGCUCCGAUGAGGAGAAGCUCUCAUUCGCCGUGGUUUCCCUCGUCGCCGGCGUUAGGAUCAUGGCCAUGGUGGGCGCCGGAAAGGCGCAGCAGGAGACGGCGGAGUCGAUUGUUAACCAUCCUAUCGAGAGCUCCAUCGCUGUUGAUGCGGUGAUUCGCCACGAGAGACGGUUGAGGUAUAAAAGAUGGCUUUGGUGGGCAAGAUUUGGAACGGCCGUCACUGUUCUCCAGUUUCUGGGAGCUGUUUAUCUGAUGUACAUUAUUUUCAGCGAUUUUUCUUAUAAUAGAGGGUCUAAAUCAUGUUUUUCAGAUCAGGAUAAAGCCACUCGAGUAUGGAAGCGGUUUUUGGUUGUUUCUUUUCUUGUCCUAGUAUGGCUUGUUGUGAUCAUACAGUGUUUUACGGGUUCAGACAUAUUGCGAUGGAGGUCAUUUUAUGCAACUCAUGAUACUGCAUGGAAAGCUCAUUACCGGGAGGUAUUUGAUCAUGGAAUUCGAGAAGCUUUGUGCUGUCUAGGACGUGUGAAAUACCUGAGUGUCUUGGAAGAAGAUGAGGUCUACUCUGUGGCAAGGCUCUUAGGAGAUCUUGUGGCAUAUCGUGCAUCUGGAACUGGACAUCUAGAACUCCUGGCAGGACUGGCACUAUUGCAGAUGCAUAAGCAAUCACCAAAAUUGCAUGAUGAGCUGAUUGAGGCAUCUGAUGAACUUAUUCAGGAAGCUGCAGUCUUGCAUCCAUUCGCUGAAGCUGCUUAUACAGGACCGCUACUUGAUUUUGGAAGGAAUCCGAUCUUGUUUCCUUGUGCAUGGCUUUAUAGGCAAGGGGUUUUAACUCCCUGGACUCGCGGCAGGCGUCCUGCACUUGAAGGGGAUAACUGGUGGCGAGGGCAUGCUGCAGCCUUUCUAAAAUAUGUUAAUCUAAAUCCAGAAGCUCUUCGACGGGGGCGUGUUAGUCAAACAAAGCGUGAGGCUGCUUAUUUUGUAGUGGUUUUGCAUGAUCAAAGAUCUAUAAUCAUUGCUGUACGUGGAACUGAAACCCCUGAAGACCUUAUAACUGAUGGCUUAUGUAGGGAGUGUGCUCUUACCACGGAGGAUUUGGAUGGACUGAUAAAUGGUGAGCAUGUAUGCCCGAGUGUGAGACAAAGAAUUCUCUCCUCUUUCCCACAUUAUGGACAUGCAGGGAUUGUUGAGUCUGCUCGUGAGCUUUUCAUGCAAAUUGAUGGUCAGCCUGGAGGCAAAGAUGACUCAUCUGAAAUGUCUGGAUUUCUCUCUUCUUUGUUGGGAGUGGGAUGUGAAUGUCUUGGAUAUAAAGUUCGCAUUGUGGGGCAUUCUUUAGGAGGUGCUGUUGCUACACUAUUGGGGAUAAGGUUAUACCGACGAUUCCCUAACUUGCACGUAUAUGCUUAUGGAAGCCUUCCCUGUGUAGAUUUAGCUUUAGCUGAAGCAUGUUCAGACUUUGUUACCACAAUUGUAUACAAUGAUGAAUUUUCUGCCUGCCUUUCCGUUAACUCGAUACUCAGGCUUCGUGCAGCUGCAAUCACAGCUCUUUCAGAUAAUUCUUCAGCUGAUUCAGCAAUGAUACAGAAACUUGCCCGCAGAAUUCUUCAUAUAAACAAAUACCAUGAGAGUGGGGAGCAUGCUGAUGCAUCUUCUCCAUCUUAUAGACCAAGUACCAUGAGAGUGGAAGAAAGUAAAAAUAUAUAUAAGAGAAGGCCCUUUAGGCCUACCAUUGAAGGGUGUAGCCAGCCUGAUCAAGAACUGCAUGAUCCACAUCAGGAGGAGGCUUCCUUAUUUGCCAAUUCAGACUCUGAAAUUCUAAAAUUUGGUGCCAGCCAGUAUACCAAUUAUGAUGUCAUUAUAGAUGGUCCCAAUGAAUGUAACUAUAGGGAACCAUGCUUUGAGAAGUCUGAUUUUAUUUUGUCAUUUGAGGAUCAAACUUCUCAGUCUUUGGAAGAUCCAACGUCUGUUCCAGUGUCACUGGAACCCCCGGAGGUGUUUCUGCCAGGUCUCAUCAUUCAUAUCGUACAAGAACCAAGAAGCAUCAUGCCUUUGUGGAAAAGCUGGAUUGUUCAUGAUCAUAAAACUGUUUAUAGAGCUUUUGUGGCUAAGAGAGAGAGCUUCAGAGAUAUCAUUGUGACACCUUCCAUGUUCAUUGAUCAUCUACCAUGGAGCUAUGGUUUUUGUGACCAUCACUGAAACGGCUCAACAGCAGAAUCCUGGGCCUCUAGCUCACAUUAUGGGACUCGGUCCCCACAGCGGGCAUGGCCGCAUGGCCACCCAUCAUUAUAACCUUCCAUGAGCAAUAUGAAAAUAUGAAAUGUCCAAACAUCUGUACAAAUUGAAAAAAACGCAAGUAAAUUUAAAAAUUUAUUUCCAAAAAGUAUUUUAUGUUUACCUAUAAAUAAGUUGUGUAAAUGUAUAUUGAUGCUGUGAAUUAGUGGAUGAGAGUGUUGGCGACUGGUAUGUGAUGGCUCUGUAGGUAAUACAUAGAAGUGUGCCUCCAACAGCAUUUUUAUUUUAUUUUUACCCAAAAAAGAAACAAUUUUUUUCUUGUUUUAAAUAAUCUGAAUAUAAAACAAAAUUAAUUUAAUGGGGGAAAAAAAUAAAAACCGGCAAGGUAACCAAAGCGGUGUUGGUCUUUAAAGCAGCCUUAUCUGACCGGCAUGCUGCCAUCGUUUCGUUCCCCUUGCUUGAUAGGUGGUCCAGAGAUCAGACGGCUAUUGGGACUCAAAGGUGCAUCAAAACUCACUGGGGCCGUUCAAUGAUUGGUGGCUCCAAGUUGGCUUCUGGGGACCAUAAAUUUUUGCUUGCGCCGAAAGAUCAUACAACCAUUUCUUUAUUACCUUUAUAUUAUAUAUCAUGAUUAUUAUUAAUUGCUUCUUUUUUAUUUUAUUUUUGUCUCCACCACCACCAAAGCUCCCACCUUUACCUUUUCUUCCUCCCCUGUUUCCACGAAUUCUCACGCCAUUUGCCCCAAAAUUCCUCGGUCCGAUCGACCGAGCUUGUUCCAUCUCCGGCCAUUUCCGAGCAGAUCUUCGAUCUUUUUUUGCUGCGAGCCAUCUAUUUCUCUUAAAAAUGGGAAAAAGUUCGAUCCUUUGAGGCCGAUUUCGGGGCAUCUUCUCCAUUCUUAGCGUUCCACCGAGCUCUCUUGAUUCGAUUCGUUUCUAGGUAGAUAAAUCUCCUAUCUUUGAUUCUUCUCGUUUUUCUAGCUUCCAUCAGGCCAGGAAAUCGCUCCUUUUUCGAUUCUUGGCGGAAAUUUUCGGUCAUCGUUCUCUGUUUCUUAAUCUUUGUCGUCUCGAAUUUUCUCUCUUUAAGUCAUCAUCCAAAAAAAUCCCGUUUUUUUUUUUUGGUUCGAUUUCCACUAGAAAAUUGGUAUUUUUCCCGAUCAUAGUCUCAAAAAUCUCUUUUUCUUCGAUUUAUAAAUCUUUCUAGUGUUAGCUUAUAAUUCUGUGGUCCAUUCUCGCUUCAAUUACCGUCGAUCUAUUAUCCUCUCGAGCUAUAUAUUUCUGGGAUCCUUUCUAUCCAUCUUAGCGCAAUCAAAUGGCCCAAGAAAGCUGUAAUCUUGACAAAGAUGAGGCCGAAAUCCUGAAACCCUCCUCUUCUUCCUCCCCUUCUCCUUCUCCAUCCUCUCCUCCUCCGUCUUCCUCAUCGCCUCCUCCUUUAUUCAUGAAACCCUGCGAAGAAUUCCCGGUCCAGAGGCCGGAAGCUCCGGCCGCCGCGGCGUCGCCAGCCGCCGCCGUGGUCUUGACCACUCCGAAGCCCGACGAGGAAGCUCAGUCACCCGUUCGGUUUAGUAACAGGUGCUCCACCUGCCGGAAAAAGGUGGGCCUGACUGGAUUCCGGUGCCGAUGCGGCGAUCUCUUCUGCGGCCGCCACCGAUACUCCGACACCCAUGACUGUUCCUUUGAUUACAAGGCGGCCGGAAGGGAGGAGAUUGCAAAGGCCAACCCUGUUGUUAGAGCUGCUAAGAUCAUCAAGAUCUAAGGUUAUGUGAUUGUGAGGUGGGAGGCUAGCUGGAAAUGUCUGGAAGUGGAUACAUGCAUCUAUCUGGUGGCGAAAACAAAAGCUUUUUCAAAGCGUUUGCUUGGCUCUAAGAAAUUGCUGUAUUAUUGCAUUCUAAGCUCUUUGUCAACAGUCUAAUAUGGAGGCUUUGAGAUUGAGAGCAACGAGCAACCUUCCGGUCAGCAAGGGCUCGAACAAUCCCAUCCAUCCAUCUUUGAUUAUUCUCAAUUGUGAUAAAUUAAGUCCUUGCGCUUGGUGUUUUCUUUUCAUUGGCUUUUCCUAACCAUCAAUGAUGUGGUCAAUUGUGCAACCUAAUCAAAUAGGCUUCCUGGAUUAGAUU
This is a non-coding RNA of Elaeis guineensis (African oil palm), 4616 nucleotides long. Lineage: Eukaryota; Viridiplantae; Streptophyta; Magnoliopsida; Arecales; Arecaceae. The record is from RefSeq and is a predicted model, not a curated record.